Molecule: non-coding RNA, 675 nt
Organism: Danio rerio (zebrafish)
Lineage: Eukaryota; Metazoa; Chordata; Actinopteri; Cypriniformes; Danionidae
Source: Ensembl
CCAUAGAUCUAUACUCUAGAUAUUGCAUACGGACCCUGAGCAUGUGUCAAUAAUACUGCUGUCAUAUUUGCACAGUGCUUUCAGUACAAAAGUCAUUCAACCGCACUAAAUCAAGACUAAAGCCAGUGUGAAGAUACUGGAUUUUAGCGCUGUGUAUGGGUGCAGUAACGAGCAAACAAAGAAAACAAAGCACAAAGGCAGAAUAUUUCAUAGGUAAGAUUUCUUUUUUUUAUGAUUUUGUACGUUACGAACGUUAUUGAUGACAAUACAGUUACUUACUGCCCUUACCAUAAGGCAAAGUAGCACCAACUUGCACUAAAUUCUAGGCUUAUCCUAGUUUUGUUGAGUGAAAUCAGUAAAUAACGUAAACAAAUUAUUACAACAAUGCUGCGGUGCUAGAAACUUUUAUUAUUGUUGGCUAGGUGAAGUAAUGGCUAGAUUUUGAAGUAACUUAUAAGGGUGCCUGAUAACACAACAAUGCCUGUGCCUCAAUGUGCAUACUGUCCAGCCUAAAGUAUUAGAUAUUACAUGUGUUAUAUACCAUUUAGAUCAGAAAGAUGGAUGUGCACAUUGAGACGCAGAUAUAUCAAUGGUUUAAGUGAAUCAUUUAUAACUCAGAUGCAUUCACAAAUGAAAUGCUCCCUCUGUUAGAGUUAGGACGUGGAUUAGAUCAAA